RNAcentral lists this ribosomal RNA (254 nucleotides) under uncultured bacterium. RNAcentral describes it as "partial 16S ribosomal RNA". It matches the Rfam family "Bacterial small subunit ribosomal RNA", at positions 524 to 776 of the family's 1533-position model. The record is from RNAcentral.
UACGAAGGGGGGCUAGCGUUGCUCGGAAUCACUGGGCGUAAAGGGCGCGUAGGCGGCGUUUUAAGUCGGGGGUGAAAGCCUGUGGCUCAACCACAGAAUGGCCUUCGAUACUGGGACGCUUGAGUAUGGUAGAGGUUGGUGGAACUGCGAGUGUAGAGGUGAAAUUCGUAGAUAUUCGCAAGAACACCGGUGGCGAAGGCGGCGACCUGGGUAGAUACUGACGCUGAGGUGCGAAAGCGUGGGGAGCAAACAGG